GUGUACGUACAAGCAGUGGGAGCACGCUUAGGCGUGUGACUGCGUACCUUUUGUAUAAUGGGUCAGCGACUUAUAUUCUGUAGCAAGGUUAACCGAAUAGGGGAGCCGAAGGGAAACCGAGUCUUAACUGGGCGUUAAGUUGCAGGGUAUAGACCCGAAACCCGGUGAUCUAGCCAUGGGCAGGUUGAAGGUUGGGUAACACUAACUGGAGGACCGAACCGACUAAUGUUGAAAAAUUAGCGGAUGACUUGUGGCUGGGGGUGAAAGGCCAAUCAAACCGGGAGAUAGCUGGUUCUCCCCGAAAGCUAUUUAGGUAGCGCCUCGUGAAUUCAUCUCCGGGGGUAGAGCACUGUUUCGGCAAGGGGGUCAUCCCGACUUACCAACCCGAUGCAAACUGCGAAUACCGGAGAAUGUUAUCACGGGAGACACACGGCGGGUGCUAACGUCCGUCGUGAAGAGGGAAACAACCCAGACCGCCAGCUAAGGUCCCAAAGUCAUGGUUAAGUGGGAAACGAUGUGGGAAGGCCCAGACAGCCAGGAUGUUGGCUUAGAAGCAGCCAUCAUUUAAAGAAAGCGUAAUAGCUCACUGGUCGAGUCGGCCUGCGCGGAAGAUGUAACGGGGCUAAACCAUGCACCGAAGCUGCGGCAGCGACGCUUAUGCGUUGUUGGGUAGGGGAGCGUUCUGUAAGCCUGUGAAGGUGUGCUGUGAGGCAUGCUGGAGGUAUCAGAAGUGCGAAUGCUGACAUAAGUAACGAUAAAGCGGGUGAAAAGCCCGCUCGCCGGAAGACCAAGGGUUCCUGUCCAACGUUAAUCGGGGCAGGGUGAGUCGACCCCUAAGGCGAGGCCGAAAGGCGUAGUCGAUGGGAAACAGGUUAAUAUUCCUGUACUUGGUGUUACUGCGAAGGGGGGACGGAGAAGGCUAUGUUGGCCGGGCGACGGUUGUCCCGGUUUAAGCGUGUAGGCUGGUUUUCCAGGCAAAUCCGGAAAAUCAAGGCUGAGGCGUGAUGACGAGGCACUACGGUGCUGAAGCAACAAAUGCCCUGCUUCCAGGAAAAGCCUCUAAGCAUCAGGUAACAUCAAAUCGUACCCCAAACCGACACAGGUGGUCAGGUAGAGAAUACCAAGGCGCUUGAGAGAACUCGGGUGAAGGAACUAGGCAAAAUGGUGCCGUAACUUCGGGAGAAGGCACGCUGAUAUGUAGGUGAAGUCCCUCGCGGAUGGAGCUGAAAUCAGUCGAAGAUACCAGCUGGCUGCAACUGUUUAUUAAAAACACAGCACUGUGCAAACACGAAAGUGGACGUAUACGGUGUGACGCCUGCCCGGUGCCGGAAGGUUAAUUGAUGGGGUCAGCGCAAGCGAAGCUCUUGAUCGAAGCCCCGGUAAACGGCGGCCGUAACUAUAACGGUCCUAAGGUAGCGAAAUUCCUUGUCGGGUAAGUUCCGACCUGCACGAAUGGCGUAAUGAUGGCCAGGCUGUCUCCACCCGAGACUCAGUGAAAUUGAACUCGCUGUGAAGAUGCAGUGUACCCGCGGCAAGACGGAAAGACCCCGUGAACCUUUACUAUAGCUUGACACUGAACAUUGAGCCUUGAUGUGUAGGAUAGGUGGGAGGCUUAGAAGUGUGGACGCCAGUCUGCAUGGAGCCGACCUUGAAAUACCACCCUUUAAUGUUUGAUGUUCUAACGUUGACCCGUAAUCCGGGUUGCGGACAGUGUCUGGUGGGUAGUUUGACUGGGGCGGUCUCCUCCUAAAGAGUAACGGAGGAGCACGAAGGUUGGCUAAUCCUGGUCGGACAUCAGGAGGUUAGUGCAAUGGCAUAAGCCAGCUUGACUGCGAGCGUGACGGCGCGAGCAGGUGCGAAAGCAGGUCAUAGUGAUCCGGUGGUUCUGAAUGGAAGGGCCAUCGCUCAACGGAUAAAAGGUACUCCGGGGAUAACAGGCUGAUACCGCCCAAGAGUUCAUAUCGACGGCGGUGUUUGGCACCUCGAUGUCGGCUCAUCACAUCCUGGGGCUGAAGUAGGUCCCAAGGGUAUGGCUGUUCGCCAUUUAAAGUGGUACGCGAGCUGGGUUUAGAACGUCGUGAGACAGUUCGGUCCCUAUCUGCCGUGGGCGCUGGAGAACUGAGGGGGGCUGCUCCUAGUACGAGAGGACCGGAGUGGACGCAUCACUGGUGUUCGGGUUGUCAUGCCAAUGGCACUGCCCGGUAGCUAAAUGCGGAAGAGAUAAGUGCUGAAAGCAUCUAAGCACGAAACUUGCC
Molecule: ribosomal RNA, 2255 nt
Filed under: Escherichia coli
Lineage: Bacteria; Pseudomonadati; Pseudomonadota; Gammaproteobacteria; Enterobacterales; Enterobacteriaceae
Description: partial 23S ribosomal RNA
Rfam family: Bacterial large subunit ribosomal RNA
Source: RNAcentral